GAACGCUAGCUACAGGCUUAACACAUGCAAGUCGAGGGGCAGCAUGGUCUUAGCUUGCUAAGGCCGAUGGCGACCGGCGCACGGGUGAGUAACACGUAUCCAACCUGCCGUCUACUCUUGGACAGCCUUCUGAAAGGAAGAUUAAUACAAGAUGGCAUCAUGAGUCCGCAUGUUCACAUGAUUAAAGGUAUUCCGGUAGACGAUGGGGAUGCGUUCCAUUAGAUAGUAGGCGGGGUAACGGCCCACCUAGUCUUCGAUGGAUAGGGGUUCUGAGAGGAAGGUCCCCCACAUUGGAACUGAGACACGGUCCAAACUCCUACGGGAGGCAGCAGUGAGGAAUAUUGGUCAAUGGGCGAGAGCCUGAACCAGCCAAGUAGCGUGAAGGAUGACUGCCCUAUGGGUUGUAAACUUCUUUUAUAAAGGAAUAAAGUCGGGUAUGCAUACCCGUUUGCAUGUACUUUAUGAAUAAGGAUCGGCUAACUCCGUGCCAGCAGCCGCGGUAAUACGGAGGAUCCGAGCGUUAUCCGGAUUUAUUGGGUUUAAAGGGAGCGUAGAUGGAUGUUUAAGUCAGUUGUGAAAGUUUGCGGCUCAACCGUAAAAUUGCAGUUGAUACUGGAUAUCUUGAGUGCAGUUGAGGCAGGCGGAAUUCGUGGUGUAGCGGUGAAAUGCUUAGAUAUCACGAAGAACUCCGAUUGCGAAGGCAGCCUGCUAAGCUGCAACUGACAUUGAGGCUCGAAAGUGUGGGUAUCAAACAGGAUUAGAUACCCUGGUAGUCCACACGGUAAACGAUGAAUACUCGCUGUUUGCGAUAUACUGCAAGCGGCCAAGCGAAAGCGUUAAGUAUUCCACCUGGGGAGUACGCCGGCAACGGUGAAACUCAAAGGAAUUGACGGGGGCCCGCACAAGCGGAGGAACAUGUGGUUUAAUUCGAUGAUACGCGAGGAACCUUACCCGGGCUUAAAUUGCAGAUGAAUUACGGUGAAAGCCGUAAGCCGCAAGGCAUCUGUGAAGGUGCUGCAUGGUUGUCGUCAGCUCGUGCCGUGAGGUGUCGGCUUAAGUGCCAUAACGAGCGCAACCCUUGUUGUCAGUUACUAACAGGUUCCGCUGAGGACUCUGACAAGACUGCCAUCGUAAGAUGUGAGGAAGGUGGGGAUGACGUCAAAUCAGCACGGCCCUUACGUCCGGGGCUACACACGUGUUACAAUGGGGGGUACAGAGGGCCGCUACCACGCGAGUGGAUGCCAAUCCCCAAAACCUCUCUCAGUUCGGACUGGAGUCUGCAACCCGACUCCACGAAGCUGGAUUCGCUAGUAAUCGCGCAUCAGCCACGGCGCGGUGAAUACGUUCCCGGGCCUUGUACACACCGCCCGUCAAGCCAUGGGAGCCGGGGGUACCUGAAGUGCGUAACCGCGAGGAGCGCCCUAGGGUAAAACUGGUGACUGGGGCUAA
RNAcentral lists this ribosomal RNA (1449 nucleotides) under uncultured organism. RNAcentral's name for it is "SSU rRNA". It matches the Rfam family "Bacterial small subunit ribosomal RNA". The record is from RNAcentral.